This 442-nucleotide ribosomal RNA is filed under the name uncultured bacterium. RNAcentral describes it as "partial 16S ribosomal RNA". It matches the Rfam family "Bacterial small subunit ribosomal RNA", at positions 338 to 795 of the family's 1533-position model. The record is from RNAcentral.
CCUACGGGAGGCAGCAGUGGGGAAUAUUGGGCAAUGGGCGCAAGCCUGACCCAGCAACGCCGCGUGAAGGAUGAAGGCUUUCGGGUUGUAAACUUCUUUUUAGGGGGAAGAGCAGAAGACGGUACCCCUUGAAUAAGCCACGGCUAACUACGUGCCAGCAGCCGCGGUAAUACGUAGGUGGCAAGCGUUGUCCGGAUUUACUGGGUGUAAAGGGCGUGCAGCCGGGGAGACAAGUCAGAUGUGAAAUCCACGGGCUCAACCCGUGAACUGCAUUUGAAACGGUUUCCCUUGAGUGUCGGAGAGGUAAUCGGAAUUCCUGGUGUAGCGGUGAAAUGCGUAGAUAUUAGGAAGAACACCAGUGGCGAAGGCGGAUUACUGGACGAUAACUGACGGUGAGGCGCGAAAGCGUGGGGAGCAAACAGGAUUAGAUACCCUUGUAGUC